This 93-nucleotide small RNA is filed under the name Salmonella enterica. RNAcentral describes it as "partial RtT sRNA". It matches the Rfam family "RtT RNA", at positions 1 to 91 of the family's 130-position model. From Rfam's summary of the family: This family represents a bacterial cis-regulatory element known as RtT RNA. The exact function of RtT is unknown although it is thought that it may be involved in changing the cellular response in relation to amino acid starvation. The record is from RNAcentral. Lineage: Bacteria; Pseudomonadati; Pseudomonadota; Gammaproteobacteria; Enterobacterales; Enterobacteriaceae.
GUUUGCACUUAUCGGGGAAGGGUGAGAACCUUCGAUUAAGGUUCGACUCGAGCGAAAGCGAGAGAACGUUGCCAACGGCAACGGCCCGUAGGG